GACGAACGCUGGCGGCGUGCUUAACACAUGCAAGUCGAACGGAAAGGCCCUGCUUUUGUGGGGUGCUCGAGUGGCGAACGGGUGAGUAACACGUGAGUAACCUGCCCUUGACUUUGGGAUAACUUCAGGAAACUGGGGCUAAUACCGGAUAGGAGCUCCUGCUGCAUGGUGGGGGUUGGAAAGUUUCGGCGGUUGGGGAUGGACUCGCGGCUUAUCAGCUUGUUGGUGGGGUAGUGGCUUACCAAGGCUUUGACGGGUAGCCGGCCUGAGAGGGUGACCGGCCACAUUGGGACUGAGAUGCGGCCCAGACUCCUACGGGAGGCAGCAGUGGGGAAUAUUGCACAAUGGGCUGAAGCCUGAUGCAGCAACGCCGCGUGCGGUAUGACGGCCUUCGGGUUGUAAACCGCUUUCGCCUGUGACGAAGCGUGAGUGACGGUAAUGGGUAAAGAAGCACCGGCUAACUACGUG
This 468-nucleotide ribosomal RNA is filed under the name uncultured bacterium. RNAcentral describes it as "partial 16S ribosomal RNA". It matches the Rfam family "Bacterial small subunit ribosomal RNA", at positions 28 to 507 of the family's 1533-position model. The record is from RNAcentral.